This 73-nucleotide transfer RNA is filed under the name Winmispira thermophila DSM 6192. Its description in RNAcentral is "tRNA-Asn (GTT) (tRNA-Asn-GTT-1-1)". It matches the Rfam family "tRNA". Rfam says of the family: Transfer RNA (tRNA) molecules are approximately 80 nucleotides in length. Their secondary structure includes four short double-helical elements and three loops (D, anti-codon, and T loops). RNAcentral also lists the same sequence under 1 other name. The record is from RNAcentral. Lineage: Bacteria; Pseudomonadati; Spirochaetota; Spirochaetia; Winmispirales; Winmispiraceae.
UCCGGCGUAGCUCAGUCGGUAGAGCGGGUGGCUGUUAACCACUAGGUCGCAGGUUCGAGUCCUGCCGCCGGAG